GACGAACGCUGGCGGCGUGCUUAACACAUGCAAGUCGAACGGAAAGGCCCUGCUUUUGUGGGGUGCUCGAGUGGCGAACGGGUGAGUAACACGUGAGUAACCUGCCCUUGACUUUGGGAUAACUUCAGGAAACUGGGGCUAAUACCGGAUAGGAGCUCCUGCUGCAUGGUGGGGGUUGGAAAGUUUCGGCGGUUGGGGAUGGACUCGCGGCUUAUCAGCUUGUUGGUGGGGUAGUGGCUUACCAAGGCUUCGACGGGUAGCCGGCCUGAGAGGGUGACCGGCCACAUUGGGGCUGAGAUACGGCCCAGACUCCUACGGGAGGCAGCAGUGGGGAAUAUUGCACAAUGGGCGGAAGCCUGAUGCAGCAACGCCGCGUGCGGGAUGACGGCCUUCGGGUUGUAAACCGCUUUCGCCUGUGACGAAGCGUGAGUGACGGUAAUGGGUAAAGAAGCACCGGCUAACUACGUG
This 468-nucleotide ribosomal RNA is filed under the name uncultured bacterium. RNAcentral's name for it is "partial 16S ribosomal RNA". It matches the Rfam family "Bacterial small subunit ribosomal RNA", at positions 28 to 507 of the family's 1533-position model. The record is from RNAcentral.